AUUGAACGCUGGCGGCAGGCCUAACACAUGCAAGUCGAGCGGAGCGGCGGACGGGGGAGUAAGUCCUAGGAAUCUGCCUGGUAGUGGGGAUAACGUCCGGAAACGGACGCUAAUACCGCAUACUAUCAGAUGAGCCUAGGUGGGAUUAGCUAGUUGGUGGGGUAAAGGCCUACCAAGGCGACGAACCGUAACUGGUCUGAGAGGAUGAGCAGUCACACUGGAACUGAGACACGGUCCAGAUUCCUACGGUAGGCAGCAGUGGGGAAUAUGGGACAAUGGGCGAAAUCCUGAUCCAUCCAUGCCGCGGGUGUGAAGAAGGUCUUCGGAUUGUAAAGCACUUGAAGUUGGGAGGCGUUACCUACAGAAUAAGCACCGGCUAACUUCGUGCCAGCAGCCGCGGUAAUAC
This 406-nucleotide ribosomal RNA is filed under the name uncultured bacterium. RNAcentral describes it as "partial 16S ribosomal RNA". It matches the Rfam family "Bacterial small subunit ribosomal RNA", at positions 30 to 526 of the family's 1533-position model. The record is from RNAcentral.